This is an RNA transcript of Carassius gibelio (silver crucian carp), 7222 nucleotides long. It is a transcript of the gene named golgin subfamily A member 4, with no coding region annotated. The transcript is spliced from 25 exons. NCBI's taxonomy places the organism in Eukaryota, Metazoa, Chordata, Actinopteri, Cypriniformes, Cyprinidae. The record is from RefSeq and is a predicted model, not a curated record.
CGUAGCUGUUCGCUUUUCCUCCACGUCAGCUGCAUCUGCGCUCUGCUGUCAUCCACACAUACAGUACAUUAGGUUUCUUACUCUGGUAAUCGGACAGUAAAAUCCUUCCUGACGUGACAAUAAUCGCAUGGAGUGAUGUUUAAGAAACUGAAGCAGAAGGUGAUCGAGGAGCAGUCGCCUCAGCGGAGCAGCGCGCAGCAGGUGAGUUCAGGAGAGAGGCGUGCUCAUCUGCACCAAGAUGCCCCGAACCCGGCCUCUCCCAACGACAGAGAGGGCAUUAAAGCGGCCAGCAGCUCUCCGAGAGGCAGUGUGAACGGGGAUGGAAUCGCUUCUCCUCAGGCAAAGGAGUCUCAGUCUCUGGCCCAGAAGCUGCAGCAGAAGGUUUCUUCGGUGGAGUCUCUGCUCCGGGGUUCGGCCCGCGGUGAAGGGCUCUUUCGCUCCGGCUCCCGGGACAGUCUGGUCAGAAGCUCCUCCAGAGAAUCGCUCUCUCUCGUCGGAGAGAAUGAGGCCCAGUCGUCGCCGGCGUUCGACCCUCCGUCGGACAUCGAGAGCGAGGCGGAGGAUUCGCCCGGCAGCGCUGAGAGUCUGUCUAAAGAGCAGCUCUUGAACCGCCUGCACCGGGUCGAGAGAAGCCUCGGGAACUACAGGGGGAAGUACUCCGAGUUGGUUACAGCUUACCGAACCGUACUCCGGGAUAAAGAGAAAACGCAGGCCAUCCUCAGCCAGAGUCAAGAUAAAGCCCUGAGAAGAAUAGGGGAGCUCAGGGAGGAGCUUCAGAUGGACCAGCAGGCCAAGAAACACCUGCAGGAGGAGUUUGAUGCUGCUCUGGAGGAGAAGGACCAGAUGAUCAGUGUGCUUCAGACGCAAGUGUCUCUGUUGAAGAAGCGUCUGCAGACGUCUGGAGCUGUGCUUUCCUCCGAGGUAGAGACCUCUCAGUCCACAGACACGGUCGAUGCAAACACCGACAUUCAGAGCCCCUCGAAAGAUGACGGCUCUGCACUUAACACAGCAGAGGGCAGCGGAGAGCCGGGCAGCGCGGUGGACCUUGAGGCUCUUCAGAAGCGAAUCAAAAGGCAAGAGAGUCUCCUGCAGAGAUGCAAAGAGAUGAUUCGAUCCAGUAAAGAGCGCAGCGCUCAGCUGAGCAGCGAGAACGAGGUUUUACAGCAGCAGCUGCAGGAGAGACUGCAAGAGCUUGAGAAAAUGAAGGAGCUGCACACUACAGAGAAGACGAAGCUGAUCACGCAGCUGGGAGACGCCAAGAACCUCAUCGAGCAGCUGGAGCAGGACAAGGGAAUGGUCAUUGCUGAAACCAAGCGUCAGAUGCACGAGACUUUAGAGAUGAAGGAAGAGGAGAUCGCUCAGCUGCGCUCCAGACUCCAGCAGACCCUCGCUCAGAAAGACGAGCUGCAGGAGCAGAAAGAGAAAUCAGAGAAAGCAGCGUUUGAAGAGCUGGAGCGAGCUCUAGGUGUGGCUCAGCGGGCGGAGGAGGCGCGCCGUCAGCUGCAGGUGAGCGUUGAGGAGCAGGUGAAGCAGGUGGAGAAGACCAGCGAGGAAGAGAGGAGAAGCUUGCAACAGGAGCUAACCAGGGUCAAACAGGAAGUGGUCACCAUUAUGAAGAAAUCCUCAGAGGACAGGAUAGCAGAAAUGGAGCGGUUACAUUCAGAGGCUUUGGCUAACAAAGAACAGGAACUGAGUGCCCAGAUCAAACAAGCUGUGGAGCAGUGUCGGGAGGAAUUGUUGAGGUCGGCACAGGAAAGAGAACAGCAGGCAUCUCUCGCUCUGGAAGAGGCAGAGCUGCAGAAAGCUGCAAUUCAGACUGAGGGAGAGAACAAAGCCAAGGAACUACAGCUAGAGUUGGAGUCGACCAGAACAAGAAUCCAAGAACUUGAGAGUUGUCUAGGUAGCACUGAAAAGGAUUCUGCCAAGUCGGAUGAACACUCUGUGCAACUGGAAGAGCUUAGAAAGAAACAUGAGGCUGAAAUAGCUGCUCUAGAAGAAGCACAUAAGCAAGAGCUAGAAAAGACAAAGACAGUGGAGAUAACAGCCCUUACCCAGCAGCAUGAUGCUGCUUUGGAGGAGCUUGUGCAGAAACAUAAAGCAGAAAUCCAAUCUAUACUGAAAGACAAGGAGGAACAGUUCCAUUCCCACGUGGAAGACAUGAACAAAAAGAUGCUUGAUAAACUGAGUGACAAACAAACUGAGAUUGAGACCCUGUCUUCUGAGCUUAGUGAGGUACUGAAUAGUAAACAGCAGUUAGAAGAAAGACUGUCCGCUGUGGAGACCACCAGUGAAACCACAAGACAAGAGUUUGAAGACAGACUCAAGGAAGAACAAGUAAAAUAUCAGGCUGAGAUUGAAGCUAUGAAACAGUCGUUUGCAGAGGUGGAGAAAAUGCUGAAAGGAGAGAUGAAUCAGCUGAAGAUUAUGUUGGAGGAGAAGGAAAAAGCACUAGAGGAGCAUGUGCUUAAAGAAAUGACUUUAGAAGAAGGAAGUGUGCAGUUGGAGGAGCUCCGACUCAGGGAACAGUCAAAUAAAGAGGCCCUUGAGAAAUCAAGAUCUCAGAUAGGCACACUUACAGAAGAACUCCAGCAAACCAAGAAUCAAGUGAAAGAUCUUGAGCAAACCCUUGAGGCAAUGCGUAAUGAUAGUCAGGAGAAAGAAGUGUGUCUUGAACAAAAGACAAGUGAACUUCAGGAACUUAUGCAGAAGAUGGAGCAAGUCAAGAGAGAACUAUUGGAAAAAGAAAAUUUGCAUGAAGCUACCUGCAAUAAAAUGCAAGAGGAGCAAAACCGAUUGAGAAAGCAGCUGGAUGACCAGAAGAGUUCUCACGAGAAGAAACUUGAGAACAUUAGGAAAGACAUGGAUUGCAAGCUGAAAUCCCAGGAAAAUAAGAUGGAGAAAUUAAGACAGAAACACAAAGAAGCACAGGACAAGUUGAAGAAGCAGCUUCAGGAUCAAGAGGAGAAUGCCAAAGUGGAGUUAUCCAAGAAAGCUCAAGAGAUAGAACUGAAAGACCAGCAACUAAAGGAGAAGAUCCUUGAGAUGGCGCAAGCAAGCUCUGAGGGCCUCAGCACCAACAUGUCUGAUUUGGAGGCCAAUCACAAAGAGCACUUGGACAAGCUUCAGCUGACUCAUAAACAGGAGCAGGAAGAUCUUAUCCGUCGCUGGCAGGAGAAACUCAACCAGAAUGAGGAGGAGUUGCAAGAAACACAUGCUCAGUCUUUGCAAGAAAAAGCCCAAGAGUUGGAGGAGAUCUCUCAGCUGCUUUCGGCCAGCAGGGAAGAAAAGGAACAGGUUAUGAAAGACAUCCAGAACCUCAGGGAGGAGCUUGCCAUGAGGGAAACCACCGUGCAAAAACUACAGACAGAGCUCAGGGAGGCUGCAAGCAAGCUAGAAAGUUUAUCUGAAGGGGAGGGUUUACUUAAAAGACAAGCCGAAUCCAUGGAAAAGAAUCUGAACCAGGCCUUGAAUGAAAGAAGCCUUUUGCAGGACGAACUGAGAAAGGCUGAGGAAACUAGUAAGGAGAGAUUGCAGAGUAUAUCUGAAGAGUUGGUAAACACCCAACAAAAGCUGAAUAUGCUAGAAACGUCCAAAUGUAAAGAGGGUGAAGAUCUCCAGAGGAAACUUGAAGAAAAAACUGCUGAACUCCAAAAUAAAGAAAAAGAGUUCCAGACACAGUUGUGUGCCAUCACAAAAGAAUUGAAGCAGUGUUGUCAGGAAGCCCAGGCUAAGUUAGAUGGGUUCUCUAUUGACCUGUGUAAGAAAGUUGAGGAACGUGUUGGGGAGUUACAACGCCGGGUCGUAGAUCAUCUGAAUAAGGUCACAUAUCUACGAAAUAUUAUCAUGAUGAAGGACAACAGAAUUAGCACUUUAGAGAAAGAACUUCAGCAGGCUUUGGAUGAGAACCAUAAUCUAAAGAGCUCUCUUGAUGAAGUGACACUUCAGUUAAGUUCAAGUUCAGAGACUCUUAAAGCCUUACAGAUCGAAAGGGAGUCUCUGCAAACCGAUGCAGAUAAUCGCUCCCAGGUACUUUCUGAGAAACACCUUCAAAUGCAGCAGCUCUGUGAGGAAAAAGAACACAUAUCAGAAAAUCUCAAAGCAAAUGUUGUGCAACUCAGCAAUCUAGAAUCUGUCAUAAAUGACUUGAAGACCCAGUUAGCAAGUAGCAUAACUGAGAAAGAGCAAGCCAUAUCUCUGCUGAAUCAGCAGCACAGUGAGGACAAGGAAAGAGUAACAUGCCAGAUGGGGGAGACGGUGGAAAGGCUAGAAAAAGAGAAGACCUCGCUUCAAGAGCAGGUAGACUCACUCAGGAAUAAGUUCUCUGAGCUGAAAAAGAAGUUCAGUCAGAAUCACAGCACUGUUAAAUCUCUUCAAGAUAAAGUUGCAGACAUGGAGAGGCAGAUUGCGACAAAGGACGGACAACUUCAGAUGCUCACUGCCAGCAUUGACAAUCACUCCAUUACCAAGUCCGAGAUGGACCAGGCUCUUAAUGAGAAAGAACAGAGGGUUCAUGCCUUGACCUCAGAGCUAGAAAGCUGCUCAAAAAAAGUUUGUGAUCUGGAGGAGCAGCUAGAGUUGCGGACAAAAGAGCGGGAACAGCUCGCAGCUGAUUUGCAGCAGCACCUUACUAUUAGGGAGAAUGAAAAGAUUGAGUUGAUGAAGCAGGUGCAGGAAGCUCAGGACCAAAGCUCUCAAAAUGGUGCCCUAAUGCAGAAAACUGAGCAAAGUCUUCAGUCUUUGAGGAAAGACGUUGAAACUGCCAAGCAGGAACUGGAAUCCCAGCGGAAAGACUUUGAGAGGGAGAAGACUGAUAUUCUGAGGGCGAAUGAAGAGGCUGUGAAGGCAGCACAAGAAAAGGCAUCCGCUGAAACGGCUGGUAAAGUAGCUGAGUUGAAGAAGAAGGCAGAGCAAAAGAUCGGCAUGAUUCGUAAACAGUUGACGUCACAAAUUGAGGAAAAGGAGAAGGCUAUCAAAGCCUUGCAGAUGCAGUUGGAAGCCAUGAAGCAAACCCAUAAUGAAAAAGAACAACGUAUAAAGGCUCUAGAGGAAACUGAGAGGUCAAUGGAGGAGGCCACUGCAAAAUUGAAGGAAGAGCAUGCAAAACAUCAACAGGAAUUACAGCAGAAAGAAAACGAGGAAAGUCAGGCCUCUCUGAAAAACGUAAAAGAUAUCUAUGAAGAGAAGCUUGCUGCUCUUCGUAAAGACUUUUCUGCAAAAGAGGAGCAAUCUGCUACUGCUGCUAUAGAAGCUUCUUCAAGACUUGGAGAGCUUGAAACCAAACUCUCAGAAUCUAAUGAGCAGAUUGCAAACUACCAAACUGAGGUAAGUCGCCUUAAAGUAGACCUGCUUGAACAGACAACUCGAGUGCAGGAGCUCCAGCAGACUUGCUUGGAUCUUCAAGAACAGAUCAAGGAGAAACAGAUUGAUGAAGUUGAGAAGGAACAUGUUUCUGUGCAAAUGUCCAGCAGUAGAUUGGGAAUGGAGCCAACAGCGUUAGUGGCCAAGGAAAACAUGCAUGCUAUCAGGAACCAAGAUGAUUGGACAAGUCAAAAGGACAUGUUGGUGAAAGAAUAUGAGGAGAAACUCCAAGAUUUGCAGCAGAGGUUACAAGAGAAAGAAAAUGAGCUAAAAGCACAACAGAGUUCCCCUCAAGAAAAUGGCGAGACUGUUAAUGAGUGCCUAAUCAACAAUACAAACACCUCAGAGAAUGAUCUUCAGAGAAAGCUAGUAGAGGCUGAGAAUGAGAAGCAAAAACUCCACAAAGAUUUCUCCAGACUACAGAAAGACUUUCGGUCUCUAAGGAAAGAGCAUGAGAAGGAGCUGGAAUUCCUGAAGAAGGAAAUGGCUGAGGAGACCGAGAAAAAGCUGAAGCUCGAAAUGGAAGAUAUGGAAUUGAAACACAAUUCUGCUCUUAAGCAGUUGAUGGAGGAGUUUAAUACUCAGAUGGCCCUGAAAGAAAAGGAACUGGAAGGUCCUGUGAAGGAAACCAUUGAGAAAGCUCAGGGUGUUGAAGCUGAGCUUAUAACUACACAUGGAGAUGAAGUCAGUCAGCUUCAGAAAACAAUCGCUCAGAAGGAAGAAGACCUGAACAGAAUGGUUCAGCGUUAUGAACAGGUCCUUCAGAGUCGUGAGGUGGAGAUGGGCGACCGUGUGUGGGAGGUGCAGAAGGAGUUAGAGGAGCUACAGCAGAGGAGUCUCAGUGGCCCUCAGGGUCUUGAAGAGUUAAAGGUUCAGCUUGCAGAAAAGACCACCAUGUUGAGCGAGGCCAGGCUAAAAGAGCAGGAAUACCACGACAGGAUUCAUGCACUAGAAGACAAACUAAGACGCUCCCAUAAAGCCACAGUGGUGACUCACCUGGGAAGCUCAUAUAGAGAUAUGUCACACAACAGCGCGGACCCCUUCAGCGAGCCGACUGAAUUCGAGUACCUCAGGAAGGUCAUGUUUGAGUACAUGAUGGGAAGAGAGACAAAGACAAUGGCCAAAGUUAUAACAUCCAUGCUGAAGUUUCCUCCGGACCAGGCGCAGAAGGUUCUGGAGCACGAGGAUUCCCGUGUGCUGCCUUGGCUCCGGUAAGAUGGAACCAGAACCGUGCUGCUGCUGCUGAGAGAUGCUACUGACCUGAAAGAGCCUGCUCUACUUCUCCGUGUGUGUGUGUGUGUGUGUGUGUGUGUGUGUACACGAGUAAUAGUACCAGGGAAUUUGGUUAGAUUCAGAAAUUGAAGCAAUGUAAAGAAUAUUCUUAAAUUUGUAGCUUGCCAGAAAUAAUUUAUCAAAUGUAUCUUUCUUGCUUUCUCUUUUUAUUUUAUUAUUAUUAUUUUUAAUAAUAAUAAUUUAGACGGUUCUUUCUUUAAAGCUGCGUUUCUAUGAUUUGACAACUUGUGCAAUAAGUUUGACUGUAAGUUUCAGUUUGGUCGAUUCUCUCAAUUCUUCCUGAAUUAUUUCAUUUUUAUUCCUGUUUUUCUCUGUUUUAAGGUUAGAUGAAAUUACCCUUGAACUAUCUGCACGGCACAUGUACGAUAUAAAGACACCGGCUCAUAGUAUGCUGAUUGUUUAUUAUGUUUUUGUAACUUAAUACUGUAUUUUCGGGGGAAACUGACUAACUAGAACCACACUUCAUAUUGUAAAUAAUCAUUGUUAGGAAAAAAAGGCUAUAAAUCUGUCAUAAGGCACUUUGAGGCAGUUAAUACAUUUUAAGACAACUAAUAAAGUUUUAUUUACAGUA